Myotis brandtii (Brandt's bat) is the source of this 81-nucleotide non-coding RNA. Lineage: Eukaryota; Metazoa; Chordata; Mammalia; Chiroptera; Vespertilionidae. The record is from Rfam.
AGGCCCAAAGCAAGAGGCAGGGUCUGAUCCGCAGCCUCCGUGGCAGCUGUUGAUCAGCCAUUGCCUCUCUCUUUCUCUCCG